RNAcentral lists this ribosomal RNA (493 nucleotides) under Streptococcus gordonii. RNAcentral describes it as "bacterial SSU rRNA". It matches the Rfam family "Bacterial small subunit ribosomal RNA", at positions 28 to 495 of the family's 1533-position model. The record is from RNAcentral. Lineage: Bacteria; Bacillati; Bacillota; Bacilli; Lactobacillales; Streptococcaceae.
GACGAACGCUGGCGGCGUGCCUAAUACAUGCAAGUAGAACGCACAGUUUAUACCGUAGCUUGCUACACCAUAGACUGUGAGUUGCGAACGGGUGAGUAACGCGAAGGUAACCUGCCUGGUAGCGGGGGAUAACUAUUGGAAACGAUAGCUAAUACCGCAUAAUAUUAAUUAUUGCAUGAUAAUUGAUUAAAAGGUGCAAUUGCACCACUACCAGAUGGACCUGCGUUGUAUUAGCUAGUAGGUGAGGUAACGGCUCACCUAGGCGACGAUACAUAGCCGACCUGAGAGGGUGAUCGGCCACACUGGGACUGAGACACGGCCCAGACUCCUACGGGAGGCAGCAGUAGGGAAUCUUCGGCAAUGGACGAAAGUCUGACCGAGCAACGCCGCGUGAGUGAAGAAGGUUUUCGGAUCGUAAAGCUCUGUUGUAAGAGAAGAACGGGUGUGAGAGUGGAAAGUUCACACUGUGACGGUAUCUUACCAGAAAGGCGGU